GCCCGGGUGGCGGAAUUGGUAGACGCGCUAGUUUCAGGUACUAGUGUAAGUAAUUACGUGCAGGUUCGAGUCCUGUUCCGGGCA
Molecule: non-coding RNA, 84 nt
Organism: Macellibacteroides sp. HH-ZS
Lineage: Bacteria; Pseudomonadati; Bacteroidota; Bacteroidia; Bacteroidales; Porphyromonadaceae
Source: Rfam